CCGUAAGGGUUAUUGCUUGCCC
RNAcentral lists this non-coding RNA (22 nucleotides) under Arabidopsis thaliana (thale cress). Lineage: Eukaryota; Viridiplantae; Streptophyta; Magnoliopsida; Brassicales; Brassicaceae. The record is from RNAcentral.